RNAcentral lists this ribosomal RNA (440 nucleotides) under uncultured bacterium. RNAcentral describes it as "partial 16S ribosomal RNA". It matches the Rfam family "Bacterial small subunit ribosomal RNA", at positions 338 to 795 of the family's 1533-position model. The record is from RNAcentral.
CCUACGGGUGGCAGCAGUGGGGAAUAUUGCACAAUGGGGGAAACCCUGAUGCAGCGACGCCGCGUGAGGGAAGACGUACUUAGUUACGUUAAGCUUCUUCAGCAGGGAAGAAAAUGGCGGUACCUGUGUUAGUAGCCCCGGCUAAAUACGUGCCAGCAGCCGCGGGAAUCCGUAGGGGACCAGCGUUAUCCGGAUUUACUGGGUGUAAAGGGAGCGUAGGCGGUUCGCCAAGUCUGGAGUGAAAUGCCGCAGCUUAACUGCGGAACUGCUUUGGAAACUGGCGAACUAGAGUGCGGGAGGGGUAAGCGGAAUGCCUGGUGUAGCGGUGAAAUGCGUAGAUAUGAGGAAGAACGCCGAUGGCGAAGGCGGCUUACUGGACCGUAACUGACGUUGAGGCUCGAAAGCGUGGGGAGCAAACAGGAUUAGAUACCCCGGUAGUC